GCAUAGUGGCGCACGGGUGCGUAACGCGUGGCCAUCUGCCCUUUGGUUCGGAAUAACAGUUGGAAACGNNNNNNAAUACCGGAUGAUGACGUAAGUCCAAAGAUUUAUCGCCAGAGGAUGAGCCCGCGUGAGAUUAGGUAGUUGGUGGGGUAAAGGCCUACCAAGCCGACGAUCUCUAGCUGGUCUGAGAGGAUGAUCAGCCACACUGGGACUGAGACACGGCCCAGACUCCUACGGGAGGCAGCAGUGGGGAAUAUUGGACAAUGGGCGAAAGCCUGAUCCAGCAAUGCCGCGUGAGUGAUGAAGGCCUUAGGGUUGUAAAGCUCUUUUACCCGGGAUGAUAAUGACAGUACCGGGAGAAUAAGCCCCGGCUAACUCCGUGCCAGCAGCCGCGGUAAUACGGAGGGGGCUAGCGUUGUUCGGAAUUACUGGGCGUANNNNNCACGUAGGCGGCUUUGUAAGUUAGAGGUGAAAGCCUGGAGCUCAACUCCAGAAUUGCCUUUAAGACUGCAUCGCUUGAAUCCAGGAGAGGUGAGUGGAAUUCCGAGUGUAGAGGUGAAAUU
Molecule: ribosomal RNA, 563 nt
Filed under: Sphingomonas sp. PCSM38
Lineage: Bacteria; Pseudomonadati; Pseudomonadota; Alphaproteobacteria; Sphingomonadales; Sphingomonadaceae
Description: bacterial SSU rRNA
Rfam family: Bacterial small subunit ribosomal RNA
Source: RNAcentral